CGCGGGGCAGGGGCGGGCUCCGGGCAGAGGCGGCCGUGAUAACUCCACGCUCCCGCUCCAGCCGGUGACCGCCACGCGGGCUCCUCUCACUCUCACACUCAGGCCGAGAAAAUGCCGAAAGCCGUGUCACCAACGGGGGACCUCGGGGCCACAUUCAGCAUGCAGAGUUUAUUUGGUCUGCUCAAACAUUUGUGUUAGGAAAUAACACAUUAAAAGUGCACAUUUCCUUCAGACCCUGAGAAGCGGGCGAGUCCCGUGCGCUCCGCACCGCCAGCCCCGGCCCCGCGCUCGCCCAGAGGGCCGCCCUCCUCCCGCCGACCCGGCUUGGGGCUUAGGCGUUAAUCCCGUCCCCCGGGGGGGCCGCGCGGGGAGCCCCGAUCGCCUUAGGGUCAACGGCUUAGGUCCCAGCCCACGAGGCCUGACCGCACCGCACUGAGCGGCCUCUGCGCCAGGUAAGGGGGUUCGGGGCGGGACCGGGAACCGCGCUGCUAGCCGUCCCGGAAACCCGCGGUGGGCCGUUGGGUGCGCGCCGAGCCGCUGCCAACUGCCAAGCCACGGGACG
RNAcentral lists this long non-coding RNA (562 nucleotides) under Homo sapiens (human). RNAcentral describes it as "HSALNT0279312". Lineage: Eukaryota; Metazoa; Chordata; Mammalia; Primates; Hominidae. The record is from RNAcentral.